This 777-nucleotide ribosomal RNA is filed under the name uncultured Sulfurimonas sp. RNAcentral describes it as "bacterial SSU rRNA". It matches the Rfam family "Bacterial small subunit ribosomal RNA", at positions 524 to 1299 of the family's 1533-position model. The record is from RNAcentral. Lineage: Bacteria; Pseudomonadati; Campylobacterota; Epsilonproteobacteria; Campylobacterales; Sulfurimonadaceae.
UACGGAGGGUGCAAGCGUUACUUUGAAUCACUGGGCGUAAAGGACGCGUAGGCGGGUUGUCAAGUCAGGUGUGAAAUCCUACAGCUUAACUGUAGAACUGCACUUGAAACUGGCAACCUAGAGUAUGGGAGGGGGAGAUGGAAUUAGUGGUGUAGGGGUAAAAUCCGUAGAUAUCACUAGGAAUAUCAAAAGCGAAGGCGAUCUCCUGGAACAUUACUGACGCUAAGGCGUGAAAGCGUGGGGAGCAAACAGGAUUAGAUACCCUGGUAGUCCACGCCCUAAACGAUGAACACUAGUCGUCGGGAUGCUAGUCAUCUCGGUGAUGCACUUAACAGAUUAAGUGUUCCGCCUGGGGAGUACGGUCGCAAGAUUAAAACUCAAAGGAAUAGACGGGGACCCGCACAAGUGGUGGAGCAUGUGGUUUAAUUCGAAGAUACGCGAAAAACCUUACCUAGCCUUGACAUUGAUAGAAUUCUGUAGAGAUACGGAAGUGCCCUUCGGGGAACUUGAAAACAGGUGCUGCACGGCUGUCGUCAGCUCGUGUCGUGAGAUGUUGGGUUAAGUCCCGCAACGAGCGCAACCCUCGUCUUUAGUUGCCAGCAGGUUAAGCUGGGCACUCUAAAGAGACUGCCUUCGUAAGGAGGAGGAAGGUGAGGACGACGUCAAGUCAUCAUGGCCCUUAUGGCUAGGGCUACACACGUGCUACAAUGGGGCGUACAGAGAGUUGCGAUACCGCGAGGUGGAGCCAAUCUCACAAAGCGUCUCUCAAUUCGGAUU